This 393-nucleotide ribosomal RNA is filed under the name uncultured bacterium. Its description in RNAcentral is "partial 16S ribosomal RNA". It matches the Rfam family "Bacterial small subunit ribosomal RNA", at positions 523 to 918 of the family's 1533-position model. The record is from RNAcentral.
AUACGGAGGAUCCGAGCGUUAUCCGGAUUUAUUGGGUUUAAAGGGUGCGUAGGUGGUUUGAUAAGUCAGCGGUGAAAGUUUGCAGCUUAACUGUAAAAAUGCCGUUGAAACUGUCGGACUUGAGUGUAAAUGAGGUAGGCGGAAUGCGUGGUGUAGCGGUGAAAUGCAUAGAUAUCACUCAGAACACCGAUUGCGAAGGCAUCUGGCGAAUCCGCUACUGACGCUGAGGCACGAAAGGGUGGGGAUAGAACAGGAUUAGAUCCCCUGGUUUUCCACGCCGUAAACGAUGAUGGCUAACCGCCGGCGACACAAUGUCGGUGGCCAAGCGAAAGCGAUAAGCCAUCCACCUGGGGAGUACGACCGCAAGGUUGAAACUCAAAUGAAUUGACGGGG